AGUUUGACAUGCUUGAUAUAAAGUGUCUGAAUUAAAUCAUAAUGAAAAAUGAAGUCUAAUGUUACAAAAUGUCUUAUCUUGGGAGAGGAAAUAAACACAUUUUUGCUCUUUCAGUCUGUUUAUAAGGGUUUUGGUCGCCGUCCUGAAGACAGACAUCUCUCAUUGCAGGAACGGAAGGAAGCGUUAUAUGAGUGUGCACGGAGGUAAGUGAAAGAAGCUGCAGUAGAUGUGAAGACGAGUAGACAAUCUAUGUAAAUAGCACUUCGUUUUUGCUGUAAUUAUUACUCUAUCCGUCUUCCUGUGCCAUUGCUGUAAUUAUUGCUCUAUCCCACUUCCUGUGCCAUUGCUGUAAUUAUUGCUCUAUCCCACUUCCUGUGCCAUUGCUGUAAUUAUUGCUCUAUCCCACUUCCUGUGCCAUUGCUGUAAUUAUUGCUCUAUCCCACUUCCUGUACCAUUGCUGUAAUUAUUACACUAUCCCACUUCCUGUGCCAUUGCUGUAAUUAUUGCUCUAUCUCACUUCCUGUGCCAUUGCUGUAAUUAUUGCUCUAGCCCACUUCCUGUGCCAUUGCUGUAAUUAUUGCUCUAUCCCUCUUCCUGUGCCAUUGCUGUAAUUAUUGCUCUAUCCCUCUUCCUGUGCCAUUGCUGUAAUUAUUACUCUCUCUCUCUACCAUUGCUGUAAUUAUUGCUCUAUCCCACUUCCUGUACCAUUGCUGUAAUUAUUACACUAUCCCUCUUCCUGUGCCAUUGCUGUAAUUAUUACUAUAUCCGUCUUCCUGUUCCAUUGCUGUAAUUAUUACUAUAUCCGUCUUCCUGUGCCAUUGCUGUAAUUAUUGCUCUAUCCCACUUCCUGUGCCAUUGCUGUAAUUAUUGCUCUAUCCCACUUCCUGUGCCAUUGCUGUAAUUAUUGCUCUAUCCCACUUCCCGUACCAUUGCUGUAAUUAUUACACUAUCCCACUUCCUGUGCCAUUGCUGUAAUUAUUGCUCUAUCUCACUUCCUGUGCCAUUGCUGUAAUUAUUGCUCUAUCCCACUUCCUGUGCCAUUGCUGUAAUUAUUGCUCUAUCCCUCUUCCUGUGCCAUUGCUGUAAUUGCUCUAUCCCCUUCCUGUGCCAUUGUGUAAUUAUUACACUAUCCUCUUCCUGUGCCAUUGCUGUAAUUAUUGCUCUAUCCUCUUCCUGUGCCAUUGCUGUAAUUAUUGCUCUAUCCCACUUCCUGUGCCAUUGCUGUAAUUAUUGCUCUAUCCCUCUUCCUGUGCCAUUGCUGUAAUUAUUACUCUAUCCGUCUUCCUGUGCCAUUGCUGUAAUUAUUGCUCUAUCCCACUUCCUGUGCCAUUGCUGUAAUUAUUACUCUAUCCGCUUCCUGUGCCAUUGCUGUAAUUAUUACCUAUCCCACUUCCUGUGUUAUUGCUCUAUCCCACUUCCUGUGCCAUUGCUGUAAUUUGCUCUAUCCCUCUUCCUGUGCCAUUGCUGUAAUUAUUACACUAUCCCUCUUCCUGUGCCAUUGCUGUAAUUAUUGCUCUAUCCCACUUCCUGUGCCAUUGCUGUUAUUAUUGCUCUAUCCCACUUCCUGUGCCAUUGCUGUAAUUAUUACUCUCUCUCUCUCUACCAUUGCUGUAAUUAUUGCUCUAUCCCACUUCCUGUGCCAUUGCUGUAAUUAUUGCUCUAUCCCUCUUCCUGUACCAUUGCUGUAAUUAUUACACUAUCCCUCUUCCUGUGCUAUUGCUGUAAUUAUUGCUCUAACCCACUUCCUGUGCCAUUGCUGUAAUUAUUGCUCUAUCCCUCUUCCUGUACCAUUGCUGUAAUUAUUACACUAUCCCUCUUCCUGUGCCAUUGCUGUAAUUAUUACUAUAUCCCUCUUCCUGUGCCAUUGCUGUAAUUAUUACUAUAUCCGUCUUCCUGUGCCAUUGCUGUAAUUAUUGCUCCAUCACACUUCCUGUGCCAUUGCUGUAAUUAUUGCUCUAUCCGUCUUCCUGUGCCAUUGCUGUAAUUAUUACUCUAUCCCUCUUCCUGUGCCAUUGCUGUAAUUAUUACUCUAUCCCUCUACCAUUGCUGUAAUUAUUACUCUAUUCCUCUUCCUGUGCCAUUGCUGUAAUUAUUACUAUAUCCGUCUUCCUGUGCCAUUGCUGUAAUUAUUGCUCUAUCCCUCUUCCUGUGCCAUUGCUGUAAUUAUUGCUCUAUCCGUCUUUCUGUGCCAUUGCUGUAAUUAUUGCUCUAUCCGUCUUUCUGUGCCAUUGCUGUAAUUAUUACUCUAUCCCUCUUCCUCUACCAUUGCUGUAAUUAUUACUCUAUCCCUCUACCAUUGCUGUAAUUAUUACUCUAUCCCUGUGCCAUUGCUGUAAUUAUUGCUCUGUCCCUCUACCAUUGCUGUAAUUAUUGCUCUGUCCCUCUGCAAUUGCUGUAAUUAUUGCUCUGUCCCUCUACCAUUGCUGUAAUUAUUGCUCUAUCCCUAUCCCUCUACCAUUGCUGUAAUUAUUGCUCUGUCCCUCUACCAUUGCUGUAAUUAUUGCUCUGUCCCUCUACCAUUGCUGUAAUUAUUGCUCUAUCCCUAUCCCUCUACCAUUGCUGUAAUUAUUGCUCUGUCCCUCUACCAUUGCUGUAAUUAUUGCUCUGUCCCUCUACCAUUGCUGUAAUUAUUGCUCUAUCCUUCUUCCUGUGCAAUUGCUGUAAUUAUUGCUCUAUACUGCUCCCUUCAAAUAUCUCUUCCCUGUGCCGGUAUAUGACAUUGCUCUUUUUUUUUUUUUCCUUCUUGAAUAACAUGUUUUUCAUAUUCAUCUCUCCUCUCCUCCUUUCUUCAUACAUGAUGCAUUUAACCAGAAGAUACCUGGAUAAGUUUGGAUCACUCGGCACAGAAGAAGAGGAAGCACAGUGCUAAGGUGCCAUUAACAAGCCACGGCAGCAGGAGAGACCUUGAUGUUAUUGGGAGGGAAAGUUUGCGAUCGCAGUUGGUGUUAUCGACUCCUUUAAAUGAUUGAAAGGAAUGAUUGAAGACUCUUACUGCUCUGUGCAGAGUAAACACUAUGGUUGAAUCCUGCAAGGAGAAACUAUCUCUGUAUCUGAAACAUGUUUGUUGUCCAUAAACUGAUAGGUUGAGCCAAUGCUUACAGUAUGAUCCAUAUGACAUUUUCCGCACACAUGUCCUAAUCCUCUAAUUCUGGGUCUCUAGCCAAAAACCUUAUGCGGAUACAAGCAGUGUGCGUAUUGGCUGCUAUUCUAUAGUCAUUGCACAUGGACUCCUUACAAAUUACUCUCAUUUAUUCUGCUCAGUGUCUAUGGACUCUCUACACAGACACAUUAAUAAUGGGCUCAGUGUAUACACACAUAUGAAUGCUGGGCUCAGUGUACACAGACUCUGCAAAGACACACAUGAAUACUGGUCUCGGUGCACACGGACUCUCUGCACAGACACACAUGAAUAUUGGGCUCAGUGUACAUGGACUCUGCACAGCAAGGCCUGAAUGCUGAGCUCAGUGUACAUGGACUCUCUGCACAGCAAGGCCUGAAUGUUGGGCUCAGUGUACAUGGACUCUCUGCACAGCAAGGCCUGAAUGUUGGGCUCAGUGAACAUGGACUCUAUGCAUAGCAAGGCCUGAAUAUUGGGCUCAGUGAACAUGGACUCUCUGCACAGCAAGGCCUGAAUAUUGGGUUCAGUGUACAUGGACUCUCUGCACAGACACACAUGAAUAUUGGGCUCAGUGUACAUGGACUCUCUGCACAGCAUGUCCUGAAUAUUGGGCUCAGUGUACAUAGACUCUGCACAGACACACAUGAAUACUGGGCUCAGUGUACACGGACUCUCUGCAAAGACACACACGAAUACUGGACUCAGUGUAAAUGGACUCUCUUCACAGGAAAGGCUGAAUACUGGGCUCAGUGUACACGGACUCUCUGCACAGACACAUGAAUAGUGGACUCAGUGUACACAGACUCUCUGCACAGCAAGGUCUGAAUACUGGGCUCAGUGUACGCGGAAUCUCUGCACAUCAAGGACUGAAUACUGGGCUCAGUGUACAUCCCAUUUCCUGUGCAGGAAUGCAGGCUUAAUUAAGGGAAGCAAUUGCUUUGUUGAAUUAGGGAUCUGCUGUGUUGUUUUAAAUGGGGCAGUGCUUUAUUAAUGUAAUACUUUUUUUAAAAUAAAAGGUGAUUUCCAUUGUCUGCA
Molecule: non-coding RNA, 4153 nt
Organism: Pelobates cultripes (western spadefoot toad)
Lineage: Eukaryota; Metazoa; Chordata; Amphibia; Anura; Pelobatidae
Source: the annotation of a GenBank genome assembly